This 1215-nucleotide ribosomal RNA is filed under the name Clonostachys sp. INBio_4515M. RNAcentral describes it as "eukaryotic LSU rRNA". The stretch from base 332 to 1215 matches the Rfam family "Eukaryotic large subunit ribosomal RNA", at positions 1 to 921 of the family's 3401-position model. The record is from RNAcentral. Lineage: Eukaryota; Fungi; Ascomycota; Sordariomycetes; Hypocreales; Bionectriaceae.
AAAACUUUCAACAACGGAUCUCUUGGUUCUGGCAUCGAUGAAGAACGCAGCGAAAUGCGAAAAGUAAUGUGAAUUGCAGAAUUCAGUGAAUCAUCGAAUCUUUGAACGCACAUUGCGCCCGCCAGUAUUCUGGCGGGCAUGCCUGUCUGAGCGUCAUUUCAACCCUCAUGCCCCCCUGGGGCGUGGUGUUGGGGAUCGGCCAAAGCCCGCGAGGGACGGCCGGCCCCUAAAUCUAGUGGCGGACCCGUCGUGGCCUCCUCUGCGAAGUAGUGAUAUUCCGCAUCGGAGAGCGACGAGCCCCUGCCGUUAAACCCCCCAAAUCUUUCAAGGUUGACCUCAGAUCAGGUAGGAAUACCCGCUGAACUUAAGCAUAUCAAUAAGCGGAGGAAAAGAAACCAACAGGGAUUGCCCUAGUAACGGCGAGUGAAGCGGCAACAGCUCAAAUUUGAAAUCUGGCGCAAGCCCGAGUUGUAAUUUGUAGAGGAUGUUUCUGGCGAAGUGCCUUCCGAGUUCCCUGGAACGGGACGCCAUAGAGGGUGAGAGCCCCGUACGGUUGGAUGCCUAGCCUCUGUGAAACUCCUUCGACGAGUCGAGUAGUUUGGGAAUGCUGCUCUAAAUGGGAGGUAUACGUCUUCUAAAGCUAAAUACCGGCCAGAGACCGAUAGCGCACAAGUAGAGUGAUCGAAAGAUGAAAAGCACUUUGAAAAGAGGGUUAAAAAGUACGUGAAAUUGUUGAAAGGGAAGCGUUCAUGACCAGACUUGGGCAGGUUGAUCAUCCGUGGUUCUCCGCGGUGCACUCUGCCUGCCCAGGCCAGCAUCAGUUCGCCCCGGGGGAUAAAGGCUUUGGGAAUGUGGCUCCUCCGGGAGUGUUAUAGCCCGCUGCGUAAUACCCUGGGACGGACUGAGGUUCGCGCUCUGCAAGGAUGCUGGCGUAAUGGUCAUCAACGACCCGUCUUGAAACACGGACCAAGGAGUCGUCUUCGUAUGCGAGUGUUCGGGUGUCAAACCCCUACGCGUAAUGAAAGUGAACGUAGGAGAGAGCUUCGGCGCAUCUCCGACCGAUCCUGAUGUUCUCGGAUGGAUUUGAGUAAGAGCAUACGGGGCCGGACCCGAAAGAAGGUGAACUAUGCCUGUAUAGGGUGAAGCCAGAGGAAACUCUGGUGGAGGCUCGCAGCGGUUCUGACGUGCAAAUCGAUCGUCAAAUAUGGGCAUGGG